This 351-nucleotide unclassified non-coding RNA is filed under the name uncultured fungus. Its description in RNAcentral is "partial contains small subunit ribosomal RNA, internal transcribed spacer 1, and 5.8S ribosomal RNA". The stretch from base 1 to 73 matches the Rfam family "Eukaryotic small subunit ribosomal RNA", at positions 1759 to 1831 of the family's 1831-position model. Lineage: Eukaryota; Fungi. The record is from RNAcentral.
GCAAACUUGGUCAUUUAGAGGAAGUAAAAGUCGUAACAAGGUUUCCGUAGGUGAACCUGCGGAAGGAUCAUUAAUGAAUAAAAAGUUGGGUUGUUGCUGGUUCUUUAAGAACAUGUGCACGCCUAACACCAAUUCUUUCAACCACCUUGUGCAUCUUGUGAUAGGUCCAGAUAUCUCUCGAGACUUUGCCUCUCGGUUUUUGGAGAAAAAUAGCUUUUUCUCUUACAUUUCUGGAUCUAUUAUUUUUAUACCAUAUACUUCAAAUACCUGAGUAUUUUAUGUAUUUAAAAAAAAAUGUGUACAACUUUCAACAACGGAUCUCUUGGCUCUCGCAUCGAUGAAGAACGCAGC